AAUGAACGUUGGCGGCGUGGAUUAGGCAUGCAAGUCGUGCGGAAGUGGCCCGCAAGGGUUACUUUAGCGGCGAAAGGGAGAGUAAUACGUAGGUACCUACCCCUGGAACCGGGAUAGCUGCGGGAAACUGCAGGUAAUACCGGAUAACGUCUCCGGACCAAAGGUGUGAUUCCGUCCGGGGAGGGGCCUGCGUCCUAUUAGCUAGUUGGUGAGGUGAUGGCUCACCAAGGCAAAGAUGGGUACGGGGUAUGAGAGUAUGCCCCCGCUCACUGGGACUGAGACACUGCCCAGACACCUACGGGUGGCUGCAGUCGAGGAGCUUCGGCAAUGGGGGAAACCCUGACCGAGCGACGCCGCGUGUGGGAUGAAGGCCCUCGGGUUGUAAACCACUGUCAGAGGGGAUGAAAUGCUAUGGGGCUCUCUCCAUAGUUUGACAUAUCCUCAGAGGAAGGACGGGCUAAGUUCGUGCCAGCCGCCGCAGUAA
This 484-nucleotide ribosomal RNA is filed under the name uncultured bacterium. Its description in RNAcentral is "partial 16S ribosomal RNA". It matches the Rfam family "Bacterial small subunit ribosomal RNA", at positions 29 to 523 of the family's 1533-position model. The record is from RNAcentral.